AAAAAGACAAACCCUGGUUUUCGUGCCCAACGUUUGACUGUCCGUCUUAUUUAAAAAAAUUAUGAAAAAAAUUAAAAAGACAAGUCACGCACAAAGUAUUAAUCAUAUUUUAUCAUCUAACAACAAUAAAAAUACGAAUUAUAAAAAAAUUUCAUAUAAGACGGACAGUCAAAGUUGGACACGGAAACCCAGGGUUUGCCUUUUU
This 205-nucleotide microRNA precursor is filed under the name Oryza glumipatula. RNAcentral describes it as "MIR812 microRNA precursor family". It matches the Rfam family "MIR812 microRNA precursor family". Lineage: Eukaryota; Viridiplantae; Streptophyta; Magnoliopsida; Poales; Poaceae. The record is from Rfam by way of RNAcentral.